RNAcentral lists this long non-coding RNA (1459 nucleotides) under Homo sapiens (human). Its description in RNAcentral is "HSALNT0323325". The record is from RNAcentral. Lineage: Eukaryota; Metazoa; Chordata; Mammalia; Primates; Hominidae.
GUACGCCAAAUGAAUGUGGACAGCGUAUGCCAGACUGGAGCUCAGGAGACUGGCUGCUGGGAAAAUGCGCUAAUCUAGGCACGAGUCAACUGAAGAACACAUCCAAAGGAAUUCACUGGAUUUAACCCAACUAAAGAGCUGGUGUUAAGCUGUUUCUGCAGCUUAACUGUGAAACAUAAGAGGAAGAAUCAAGAAUCAUGUGUCCUCAUCUUCUACAUCAAACUUACUGAUUGAUAGUUUAUAAGAAAGACUCUCAAUGGAACUUGGAACAUUGCUUGCCUGAUUUCCCAUCUGUAGGGCAGUGAGGUACUAAAUAUCUAUGUAGAUUUAGGAUAGCAAGAAAUGUAACUGUAUACUUGAUUAACUCCUUAUUUGAGAAUUAGUUACUGGAACCCACUAUGUGUUGGCUGUGAAGGACGUAAUGGUAAAGAAGACAGACCCAGUCACUGACUUCAGGGAACUUAUAUUCAGGUAAAGAAGAUAGGCAAUAAAUAAGGAAUCAAAAAAAUUAGACCACAAAAAGUGCUGCAAAGAAGACAGAAAGAGUACUAUGCUGGGAUGCAGUGGUGCAGGGUCCAAGUGGCAGUGAGUCUUGUAAGACAAAGACUAUGUUUGACUCUAAAUUUCAGGCAUGAUGGGAAGUAAUUGAUGAGUUUGGAGCAAUGUAGUAACUGAUAUGUUAUGCAUUUUUUGUUGCUCACUCUGAAUGUUACUACAUUCUGGGCGAGAUUAUGGGGACAAGAGUGGAAACAGAGAGGCUGGUUUAGGACGGACAGAGACAAAGGGUGAUGGUGGCUUAAAUAAACUUGCACUGGAGGCAAAGGAAAGUGGGUAUAAAUUGAAAUAUAUUUUGGGAGAAGCUAGCAGAAUUGAUGGAGAGGAAAAGGGAAAUCAAAGAUGACCCCUAGGUUUCUAGUUUGAACAACUGAAUGAAGAGUGCUAUCAUUUACCAAUAUCAUGGCAACUGGAGAAGAAACAAGGUUUGAAGGAAAAUGAUAAUCAGACACAUGUAUAUAUAUCCGUGUGAAAGCAUAGUACCAAAGUUUACCAAAGAGUGCUCUGGAUUGGAUAUUUAAGUAUCUGAUUUUUGUCACCACUUAGAGCAAUAACUUAUCUACAUCUUGUUGUUUCCCGUCUACAUGGAAAUAAUCAUAUCUGUCUUUACCGCUUCUGAGGGAUGCUGAGAAGACAGAUGAGAUAAUAUAUAUGAAAGUCCUUUGAAGUCUUGGGAGGAUAAGAACUGUGUAAACGCAAGCUAUCAUUAUUAUGUCACAGGGUGUGUUUUAUGUUUUUCAUGGUUCUACUCAAAGUCACAGGGAUCUUAAGCACAACAUGCUUACAUUCCUUCCUUCAUGUUCAGUUCCCAGACAUGAAAAGAUGAACAUGCUUCUCUUCCCCAACUGCCCCUUUCCCUAUAUUAUUGACAGGACUUUGCAAUUACUAGAAUUAUACCAAACUU